This 255-nucleotide ribosomal RNA is filed under the name Salmonella enterica subsp. enterica serovar Muenchen. RNAcentral's name for it is "partial 23S ribosomal RNA". It matches the Rfam family "Bacterial large subunit ribosomal RNA", at positions 762 to 1014 of the family's 2925-position model. Lineage: Bacteria; Pseudomonadati; Pseudomonadota; Gammaproteobacteria; Enterobacterales; Enterobacteriaceae. RNAcentral also lists the same sequence under 12 other names. The record is from RNAcentral.
CUAACUGGAGGACCGAACCGACUAAUGUUGAAAAAUUAGCGGAUGACCUGUGGCUGGGGGUGAAAGGCCAAUCAAACCGGGAGAUAGCUGGUUCUCCCCGAAAGCUAUUUAGGUAGCGCCUCGUGAAUUCAUCUCCGGGGGUAGAGCACUGUUUCGGCUAGGGGGCCAUCCCGGCUUACCAACCCGAUGCAAACUGCGAAUACCGGAGAAUGUUAUCACGGGAGACACACGGCGGGUGCUAACGUCCGUCGUGAA